GCUUUGGAGUUUCCAAGGUACUUGAAGAAGGAGAAACAAAUCAGCUAUCGAAGUUGCUUGCAGGCUAGCACCUCCAAGUCCCUGAUCUGCGCCUGUCUUCGCAUAGAUCUUCUUGUAGAGACCAAAUGACUCUGUGUGGCUAUGAGAGACCUGAGGAACACAUUCUCUAAAUGUUGGAUCAGAAGAGAUCAAGAUCAAAUUUGUUUGGUAAUGAUCUCUAACUUAUUUUGAUUCCUGUGGUAGAUCUAAUAG
RNAcentral lists this long non-coding RNA (252 nucleotides) under Elaeis guineensis (African oil palm). Its description in RNAcentral is "long non-coding RNA (EGUI_LNC038966)". Lineage: Eukaryota; Viridiplantae; Streptophyta; Magnoliopsida; Arecales; Arecaceae. The record is from RNAcentral.